This 354-nucleotide long non-coding RNA is filed under the name Manihot esculenta (cassava). RNAcentral describes it as "long non-coding RNA (MESC_LNC003947)". The record is from RNAcentral. Lineage: Eukaryota; Viridiplantae; Streptophyta; Magnoliopsida; Malpighiales; Euphorbiaceae.
UUUAAUGGUUUUAAGUAUGAAAUUAAAUGAGUGUUUGCAUGAAAAGUCCUUGGAGGAAAACCCAGGUUCGGCCGCCGAAAGUCAAGUUCGGCCGCCGAACAUACAUGCGUUUUGGAGGCACGUUAGGCCCCCGAAAGCAUGAGUGAGGGAAGUCCAGGUUCGGCCGCCGAAACUCAAGUUCGGCCGCCGAACAUGGCAUGCAUGCGGAAGCACUUUCGACCCCCGAACGUGGCCUGGCCAGCCACCUAUAAAAGGGUCACUUGGCCGAAAUGGGCGAGCUUUCUCCCAUUUUCGGCCACAGCUAGCUUCCGACCUCCCUCUUCCAAAUCUAGUGUUCUUCCUUCAAAUCCCCAC